UACGGAGGUUGCAAGCGUUAUCCGGAUUUAUUGGGUUUAAAGGGUGCGUAGGCGGGUUUGUAAGUCAGUGGUGAAAGACUGUCGCUUAACGAUAGCAUUGCCAUUGAUACUGCAAGUCUUGAGUACACUUGAGGUAGGCGGAAUGUGUAGUGUAGCGGUGAAAUGCUUAGAUAUUACACAGAACACCAAUUGCGAAGGCAGCUUACUAAAUUGUAACUGACGCUGAGGCACGAAAGCGUGGGGAUCAAACAGG
RNAcentral lists this ribosomal RNA (253 nucleotides) under uncultured bacterium. Its description in RNAcentral is "partial 16S ribosomal RNA". It matches the Rfam family "Bacterial small subunit ribosomal RNA", at positions 524 to 776 of the family's 1533-position model. The record is from RNAcentral.